Molecule: long non-coding RNA, 2421 nt
Organism: Oryctolagus cuniculus (rabbit)
Lineage: Eukaryota; Metazoa; Chordata; Mammalia; Lagomorpha; Leporidae
Source: RefSeq, a predicted model, not a curated record
UCUCUAUUCAAUGUAUCUUCUUGAUAGCCUUUUCAGAAAUCAUUUGCUAUAUGUAUGUGGAUUAAUUUCUAGGUUCUCUAUUCUGUUCCAGUGAUCUGUGUGUCAGUUUUUGUGCUAGUGAAACGUGGUAUAAAUUUCUAAAGCUGUGUAGUAUGCUUUGAAAUUAGAUAUUGUGAUGCCUGUGGCUUGGAUGUUUUUUUCACCUCUGGAUCACUUUGGCUAUUCUGGUUCUUUGUGGUCCCACAUGACUUUUAGGAAUUUUUUUUCAAGUUCUAUAAAGAAUUUCACUUGUAUUUUAAUAGGGAUUGCAUUGAAUCUGUGGAUUGCUUUGGGUAGUAGGAACUUUUUAAUGAAGUUAAUUCUUCCAACAGAUAAACAAUGGAAAUCUUUCCUCAUUUGGGUCUUUGAUUGCUUCUUUCAUUGGUGGUUUACAGUUUUCAUUGUAGAGAUCUUUUACUUCUUUGGUUAAUUUUAUUCUUAAAUAUUUAAUUUUUGUAGCUAUUGUGAGUGGGAUUUCUUUCUUGAUUUCCCUUUCAUCAAAUUCAUUAUUGGUGUAUAAAUGCUACUUGUUUGCAUGCUGAGUUUGUACCCUGAAACUUUACAGAUUUGGUUUAUCAGUUCUAAUAGCAUUUUUGGUGGAGUGUUUAGGUUUUUCCAUGUACAAAAUCAUGUCAUCAGCAAACAUGAAUAUUUUACUUCCUCUUUUUCCAAUUUUGAUGCCCUUUAUUUCCUUCCCUUCCUUAAUAGUUCUUGCUAAUAUUUCCAGUUCUAUAUUGAAUAAGGGUGGUGAAAGUGGACAUUAUCCUCUUCUCCUAGAAUUAAGGGGAAAUGCUUUCAGUUUUCCUCAUUAAUUAUGAAUGAUACUGACUCUGGAUUUGUCAUCGAUAGCCUUUAUAAUUUUGAGGUAGUCCUCCAAAACUGUGGGUUCCACCUCUGUGGAUUCAAUCAAUCGUAAAGCAAAACCAUACAGAAAAAAAAAAACUCCCUGGUACUGAAGCCUAACUACACCUCGUGGCCUAAGUCGGAUUAUGCUGCACAACAAACUGCUCACAAGCGGAAAACUAAAAAGAGUCUCCAUCUGUCCACACAGCUUGCUGAUGAGGAUCAAGGCAGUGCGGAAGCUAAGCUGGGCUCCAGGGCACCACAAGGCCUGGCAGGCUCUGCAGCCCCACAUACCCUGCAGCUGAAGGAAGGCUGGCCCUAGCAGAAGGAGCAUGAAGGAGGGAGGCACAGGGAGAGGCACCCGGACAGUUCUGCCACCGAGUGAUGCUCUGCUCUGAAACUCAGGUUGCAAUUUGAACCUUUUCUUGAUGGGAGUACUGUGGGGAGCAACUGGGAGCAACUCGGACUAGACUAAGUUACUGGAAUUAAGACUUAUUCUAUGCAUCUGCUCUCCCACAAUAUGGCGCUGGGAGAGGAGGAAACAGCUUCUACACAGCUGCCUCCAGUUCAACCAAUAAACAGCAGGACCUGCUCCUGAUUGGAGGAGAGCAGCGUACUCGGCGUGUGGGUAGCAGAGUUGGGAUUGGUGGAAGAGGACUAUAAAGGAGGAGAGAGACAACAUGCACCAGGAACAUCUGAGGGAACGCCUGUGCAGCCCCCGAGAGAGCCGGCCGGCGGUGUGCCGCUCCCCUGCAGAAGUGGGGAAAGUGGCUAGGGGGAACCGCCCUUCCACGGAGGUGGAAGGGUCGGUAGCCAACCCGGGAAGAACCAGCAGCAAACCCGGGAAGGGCCGAGCAGACAAAAGAACAGCGCAGGGUCCUGUGUCGUUACUCCACGAAGAGGGGGAGCAACAGAGUACCAUCUAAAGAACCCAUCAGCAGGGAAUUAAUGAUCUAUGGAUUUCCAUCUUGGUUGGAGUGACAAAAUCUGCAUCUCUGACCUUUUUGAAGCUAACCAAGAACAACCUAGGACACUCCAAAAGAUGGAAGGAGGCCAGAAGAGGAGCCAACAGAGUAGCCCCUCGAGAUUUUAUGGUGCAAUGCAAAUCAAACAGAAAGUGCACAUUGUGUUUAUAUAUAUAAACAUCCAUAUUUAAGGGUAUGUCCAAACAUUCAUGGAAAAUGGAAUUAAAAGUUGUUUAUUUUGGGGUAAAAGCAUUUGUGGGUAUUGUGAAGCAAUUAAGUCCUCAUUUCAUAUGCCCACAUCCCACAUCAGAGUGCUGACUCAAGUCCUGGCUUCCCAAGCUUCUGGUCCAGCUUUCUUCUAAUGUACCUGGGAGGCAGCAGAUGCUGGCCCAAGUACUUGGAUUCCUGCCUCCCUCAAAGGAGACCUUGGUGGAGUCCCUGACUCCUGGCUUUGGCCUGGCCCAACCCUAACUGUUGAGGGCAUUUGGGAAAUGAAUCACCAGAUCGAAGAUUUUUCUCUUUCUCUGUCUCUGUGUCACUAGGCCUUUCAAAUAAAUAAAUCUCUAAAAAAAUA